GGAUGCGAUCAUACCAGCACUAAAGCACCGGAUCCCAUCAGAACUCCGAAGUUCAGCGUGCUUGGGCGAGAGUAGUACUAGGAUGGGUGACCUCCUGGGAAGUCCUCAUGUUGCAUUCC
Molecule: ribosomal RNA, 119 nt
Filed under: Triticum aestivum (bread wheat)
Lineage: Eukaryota; Viridiplantae; Streptophyta; Magnoliopsida; Poales; Poaceae
Source: RNAcentral